GACAACCCAUACAUUUCAGAAAAGUAGCUGGAAUAAUAAACAUGUUUUUCAGUUGUCCAGUGGAGCCCCAAAAUAGAAGCAAGAUGAAUAUUCCAUUCCGCAUUGGCAAUGCCAAAGGAGAUGAUGCUUUAGAAAAAAGAUUUCUUGAUAAAGCUCUUGAACUCAAUAUGUUGUCCUUGAAAGGGCAUAGGGUCUGUGGGAGGCAUCCGGGCCUCUCUGUAUAAUGCUGUCACAAUUGAAGACGUUCAGAAGCUGGCCGCCUUCAUGAAAAAAUUUUUGGAGAUGCAUCAGCUAUGAACACAUCCUAACCAGGAUAUACUCUGUUCUUGAACAACAUACAAAGUUUAAGUAACUUGGGGAUGGCUACAAAAAGUUAACACAGUAUUUUUCUCAAAUGAACAUGUUUAUUGCAGAUUCUUCUUUUUUGAAAGAACAACAGCAAAACAUCCACAAAUCUGUAAAGCUGGUGGGACCUAAUGUCACCUUAAUUCUGACUUGAACUGGAAGCAUUUUAAGAAAUCUUGUUGCUUUUCUAACAAAUUCCCGCUUAUUUUGCCUUUGCUGCUACUUUUUCUAGUUAGAUUUCAAACUUGCCUGUGGACUUAAUAAUGCAAGUUGCGAUUAAUCAUUUCUGGAGUCAUGGGAACACACAGCACAGAGGGUAGGUGGGGCCCUCUAGGUGCUGAAUCUACACAUCUGUGGGGUCUCCUGGGUUCAGCGGCUGUUGAUUCAAGGUCAACAUUGACCACUGGAGGAGUGGUUUAAGAGUGCCAGGCAAAGGGCAAACUGUAGAUCGAUCUUUAUGCUGUUAUUACAGGAGAAGUGACAUACUUUAUAUAUGUUUAUAUUAGCAAGGUCUGUUUUUAAUACCAUAUACUUUAUAUUUCUAUACAUUUAUAUUUCUAAUAAUACGGUUAUCACUGAUAUAUGUAGACACUUUUAGAAUUUAUUAAAUCCUUGACCUUGUGCAUUACAGCAUUCCAUUAGCAAGAGUUGUACCCCCUCCCCAGUCUUCGCCUUCCUCUUUUUAAGCUGUUUUAUGAAAAAGACCUAGAAGUUCUUGAUUCAUUUUUACCAUUCUUUCCAUAGGUAGAAGAGAAAGUUGAUUGGUUGGUUGUUUUUCAAUUAUGCCAUUAAACUAAACAUUUCUGUUAAAUUACCCUAUCCUUUGUUCUCUACUGUUUUCUUUGUAAUGUUUGACUACGAGAGUGAUACUUUGCUGAAAAGUCUUUCCCCUAUUGUUUAUCUAUUGUCAGUAUUUUAUGUUGAAU
RNAcentral lists this long non-coding RNA (1271 nucleotides) under Pan troglodytes (chimpanzee). RNAcentral describes it as "long non-coding RNA NONPTRT017511". The record is from RNAcentral. Lineage: Eukaryota; Metazoa; Chordata; Mammalia; Primates; Hominidae.